CUGAACCUAAGGAUCAUUGUCGUGACCCUGACCAAAAGGAGAAGUCGUAACAAGGUUUCCGUAGGUGAACCUGCGGAAGGAUCAUUGCCGGCGCGGCAAGCGCCAAGGAAAACAAAAAUAGAAUCGUUGCCCCUUUGGCUCCUGUCCGCGGUGUGGCCAUGGGGAUGCAGCGUAUCUUGAAAGUCUAAACGACUCUCGGCAACGGAUAUCUCGGCUCUCGCAUCGAUGAAGAACGUAGCGAAAUGCGAUACUUGGUGUGAAUUGCAGAAUCCCGUGAACCAUCGAGUCUUUGAACGCAAGUUGCGCCCGACGCCUUCGGGCUGAGGGCACGCCUGCCUGGGCGUCACGCAUCGCGUCGUCCCCUCCCAUUCCCUCACGGGUUUGGUUAUGGGACGGAUAAUGGCUUCCCGUUAGCUCGGUUAGCCCAAAAAGGAUCCCUCAUCGACGGAUGUCACAACCAGUGGUGGUUGAAAGAUCAUUGGUGCUGUUGUGCUUCACCCUGUCGCUUGCUAGGGCAUCGUCAUAAACUAACGGCGUGUAAUGCGCCUUCGACCGCGACCCCAGGUCAGACGGGACUACCCGCUGAG
Molecule: ribosomal RNA, 587 nt
Filed under: embryophyte environmental sample
Lineage: Eukaryota; Viridiplantae; Streptophyta
Description: eukaryotic LSU rRNA
Rfam family: 5.8S ribosomal RNA (bases 191-346)
Source: RNAcentral